AACGAACGCUGGCGGCAGGCCUAACACAUGCAAGUCGAGCGGACCCUCCGGGGUUAGCGGCGGACGGGUGUGUAAAGCGUGGGAAUAUGCCCUUCUCUACGGAAUAGUCCUGGGUAAUUGGGGGUAAUACCGUAUACGCGCUGUGGGGGAAAGAUUUAUCGCGGAAGGAUUAGCCCGCGUUGGUUCAGGUUGUUGGUUGGGUAAUGGCCUACCAAGGCGUCUAUCCAAAGCUGGUUAGAGAGCAUGGUCAGCCACACUGGUACUGAGACACGGCCCAGACUACUACAGGAGGCAGCAGUAGAGAAUCCUAGAAAAUGGAGGCAGUACUGAUCUAUCUAUGCCGCGUGAGUGGUGAUGGCCUUAGAGUUGUAAAGCAGGUUCAGCUAGGAAGAUUAUGACGGUACCAACAGAAGAAGCCCCGGCUAACUGCGUG
Molecule: ribosomal RNA, 433 nt
Filed under: uncultured bacterium
Lineage: Bacteria
Description: partial 16S ribosomal RNA
Rfam family: Bacterial small subunit ribosomal RNA
Source: RNAcentral